This 339-nucleotide unclassified non-coding RNA is filed under the name soil metagenome. RNAcentral's name for it is "partial contains 5.8S ribosomal RNA, internal transcribed spacer 2, and large subunit ribosomal RNA". The stretch from base 1 to 120 matches the Rfam family "5.8S ribosomal RNA", at positions 35 to 154 of the family's 154-position model. The record is from RNAcentral.
GAUGAAGAACGUAGUGAAAUGCGAUAAGUGAUGCGAAUUGCAGAAUUCCGUGAGUCAUCGAAUCUUUGAACGCACAUUGCGCCCUUUGGCAUUCCGAAGGGCAUGCCUGUUCGAGCGUCAUUUAUCAACCCUCAAGCCCGGCUUGCGGUUGGGUCCCGCCGUGGGCGACCACGGCGGACCCGAAAGGUAAUGGCGGUGCCCGUGGGGCCCUGGACGCAGCGAGCUUCUCGGCACGCGUCCCGGCGGUCCCCGGCGCCGUCUCCACCAAUCCACCACGCAGAUUGACCUCGGAUCAGGUAGGGAUACCCGCUGAACUUAAGCAUAUCAAUAAGCGGAGGA